Long non-coding RNA from Peromyscus leucopus (white-footed mouse), 338 nucleotides. RefSeq lists it as uncharacterized. Lineage: Eukaryota; Metazoa; Chordata; Mammalia; Rodentia; Cricetidae. The record is from RefSeq and is a predicted model, not a curated record. The transcript has 2 exons.
GCCAUAGCCUCCACGGCCAAUGGUCUUCAAGACCACAUACUGCGAGUGGAAGUUUUCUCGUUCUGGGGUCCUGGAUACAGAUCCAAGCUUGCAGCAUUUCCCUAAUGUGGAGCAGAAGCAUUUCUCCAGCGCAGAGGAAAUAGACCAAAUGCUUUUCUGACAAAGGAAACAAAAACGAAGGCAAAGAGCCUCGGAGUAGCCGGAACUAGGCUACAAAAGCAAAAAAAAAAAAAAAAAAAAAAAUCACAAUAAAUCUCUUGAUGCUUUCAAAACCAGCACAUCAAACUUCACUUUCAUUAGAACAUUGUUAUUUGUUUUUUUACCUAAUAAUUAAAAAA